Long non-coding RNA from Cydia strobilella, 511 nucleotides. RefSeq lists it as uncharacterized. The record is from RefSeq and is a predicted model, not a curated record. The transcript has 2 exons. Lineage: Eukaryota; Metazoa; Arthropoda; Insecta; Lepidoptera; Tortricidae.
UUAGGGUUCCGUAGCCAAAUGGUAAAAAACGGAACCCUUAUAGAUUCGUCAUGUCUGUCUGUCUGUCUGUCCGUCCGUAUGUCACAGCCCCUUUUUUUCGAAACUAUAAGAGCUAUACUGUUGAAACUUGGUAAGUAGAUGUAUUCUGUGAACCGCAUUAAGAUUUUCACACAAAAUUAAAAAAAAACAAUAAAUUUUGGGGGUUCCCCAUACUUAGAACUGAAACUCAAAAAAAUUUUUUUAUCAAACCCAUACGUAUAGAAAAUCUAUGGAUAGAUCUUCAAAAAUGAUAUUGAGGUUUCUAAUAUAUUUUUUUUCUAAACUGAAUAGUUUGCGCGAGAGACACUUCCAAAGUGGUAAAAUGUGAGUCCCCCCCCCCCCCCCCUGUAACUUUUAAAAUAAGAGAAUGAUAAAACAAAAAAAAAUAUAUGAUGUACAUUACCAUGCAAACUUCCACCGAAAAUUGAUUUGAACGAGAUCUAGUAAGUAGUUUUUUUUAAUACGUCAUAAA